Molecule: ribosomal RNA, 347 nt
Filed under: uncultured bacterium
Lineage: Bacteria
Description: partial 16S ribosomal RNA
Rfam family: Bacterial small subunit ribosomal RNA
Source: RNAcentral
CCUACGGGUGGCAGCAGUGAGGAAUAUUGGUCAAUGGGCGGAAGCCUGAACCAGCCAAGUCGCGUGAGGGAAUAAGGCCCUACGGGUCGUAAACCUCUUUUGCCGGGGAGCAAGGGCGGGGACGUGUCCCGGCCCGGAGAGUACCCGGAGAAAAAGCAGCGGCGAACUCCGUGCCAGCAGCCGCGGUAAUACGGCGGAUGCGAGCGUUAUCCGGAUUUAUUGGGUUGAAAGGGUGCGUAGGGGGGCUUUUAAGUCAGCGGUAAAAAUUCGGGGCUCAACCCCGUCCGGCCGUUGAAACUGGGGGCCUUGAGUGGGCGAGCAGCAGGCGGACUGCGUUGUGUAGCGGU